GAUGAACGCUGACAGAAUGCUUAACACAUGAAAGUCAACUUGAACUUCGGUUUGGGUGGCGGACGGGUGAGUAACGCGUAAAGAACUUGCCUCACAGCUAGGGACAACAUUUGGAAACGAAUGCUAAUACCUGAUAUUAUGAUUAUAUGGCAUCGUAUAAUUAUGAAAGCUAUAUGCGCUGUGAGAGAGCUUUGCGUCCCAUUAGCUAGUUGGAGAGGUAACAGCUCACCAAGGCGAUGAUGGGUAGCCGGCCUGAGAGGGUGAUCGGCCACAAGGGGACUGAGACACGGCCCUUACUCCUACGGGAGGCAGCAGUCGGGAAUAUUGGACAAUGGACCGAGAGUCUGAUCCAGCAAUUCUGUGUGCACGAUGAAGUUUUUCGGAAUGUAAAGUGCUUUCAGUUGGGAAGAAAAAAAUGACGGUACCAACAGAAGAAGUGACGGCUAAAUACGUG
This 454-nucleotide ribosomal RNA is filed under the name uncultured bacterium. RNAcentral's name for it is "partial 16S ribosomal RNA". It matches the Rfam family "Bacterial small subunit ribosomal RNA", at positions 28 to 507 of the family's 1533-position model. The record is from RNAcentral.